This 1777-nucleotide long non-coding RNA is filed under the name Macaca mulatta (Rhesus monkey). RNAcentral's name for it is "lncRNA (ENSMMUG00000049879.1)". Lineage: Eukaryota; Metazoa; Chordata; Mammalia; Primates; Cercopithecidae. The record is from RNAcentral.
UGUGGACUGCAUUGAUGGCCUGCCUCUCUCUACACCGCAGGAAUGUGGGCUGUAAAGGCGGGAUGUAAAUUCAAGUCCACAUGCUAUGGAGAAAUCAGAGGUUUCGAAAGUGUCUCCAUGACUAUUUUUAAAGUCACAGCUAAUAAUUCACCGUCUGACGCUCUGGGGCUUGCCUGGAUCUAAAAAUAGUUGUUCCCGAGCUGGUCGGGGAACUGGCUGAGAAGGAGGGGAAGCUGCGUGGAAUACAUUCUGAACCAUCAGGAAACCCAAAGCAAAAUCGAAUCUGGCCACCUAAGAUUUGAUUGUUAAAAGAUGGAUUUGACAGCUGAUCCCGCAUUAAUUACAUUUGUGAAGACAUUUGAAAGAGAGGAAUGAAAUGACAGUGGCCCUGACACAGUCCUUGGGGUUUAAGAUGGAGUCUGACAUUGUAUCCAUCUCCAGUCCUGCAGCAGCUUAGCGACAUCAGAGACAAUUGAAGCAAAGGGCCCACUUAGGGCUGACAGCUGACCCUGCAGGCCGGCUGGGGAGCCCCUGAGAGGACCCAGGUCCAGCCACCAGGGAAGGGAACCAGCAUGGCCCCAGGGGCGCUUUAGGCUGAGGCUUCUCCCAGGAUGUGGAGGCUCAGCACUUUGCACAAAUCGAAUUCAUGCCAAAGGAAACUGAAAGCCCGCCUUUUUUCUCCCCCAGCGCACGUCUCAGAUUAUUUGGCCUUUGUCUGAAGACUGAAAACAGUUCUGUGUCCAAGAAACGGCUUCUGAUAAGGAAGACACAUUCCUAUCUCUCUCACACACACACACACACAUGCCCACGCACAUACGCACACACGGACCACCCACCCACCCAUCGGAAGUGCAUCAGCGGCCUCUGCCUCCCGCCAGAAUUCCCGGCUGCAGGACACAGCCCAGCAGGAGAAGCUUUUCCCUCCAUUCUUUCAAGGGUGAGUGGAGACAUAGGCUGGUGAUACGUGUUUUGCUCAGUUGAGUGAGGUCCGAUUCCUGGAGUUGGGCUUCCUUUAACAUCUGAGGUCAGUCACAUGGCCCAUGCUGCAGAGCCUUCAGAGAAGAAACACACUGGUUCCAAGCAUUUCAGUUUAGUUUCAUUCAAAUGCAGAAACAUGGAAACACAGACUAGACUCGUAUGAUCAAGUUAUACUCAAGCAAAGAAUACAAUACCAAAGUGAUUUCUUAAGAGUGUCCUAAAAGAGUCUCACAUACACUCUUAGUUAUCAAGUUCUUUAUGAGAUCUUUUCUAAGAUUAUGAACAUCAUAUUUGACUUGUGUAAAGCAUCACAUCAUUGACUAAAGAAAAUAUGCAUAAAUAUAUAUAUACACACACAAAGUUGUAUAAUAUUUAAAAUAUUUCUGAGUGGUAUGACUCGAAAAGAUAUUACAGUAACUGAUUAUCAUUGUAUGGGAAGAUGCUUUAUAAAACAAGAUUCUUUAAUAUAGGAUAUUCUCAAUGGCACUAUUUCUUGACUUCUAUUUAUCAUUAAUAAAUUUGGUGGAAAUGUUAAAAUAAUUUUAGAGGUUAUUUAAUGGGAAAUAUGUAUGUUUCUUUCCAUUAUAAGCAACUAUAUAUCUUAUAAUAGGACGUUUUUCUCACCUCACCUAAAAAUAACACAGAAUGUCUUAUUUCAGAUAAAUAUUAGUUUUAAAAGGUUUUAGUUAUAUAUCUUAUAUCCUGUUUAAUUUGAGUUCUUUUUACACUUAGAAUGAACACAUCCCGAUUCUAACAAAAACACAGUAAACACAGAGGAGCCACGUGGGCUACGUUCAGG